This 1104-nucleotide long non-coding RNA is filed under the name Anas platyrhynchos platyrhynchos (common mallard). Its description in RNAcentral is "lncRNA (ENSAPLG00000021942.1)". The record is from RNAcentral. Lineage: Eukaryota; Metazoa; Chordata; Aves; Anseriformes; Anatidae.
UGUGUGCAUAUAUGUGAGUAGGGUUCUCUACUGACAAUGUUCUCUCCUUCACUUACUUCCAAAGCUACUCCUAUCAAUCAAUGGCAAUUCUUCCGAGAGACUCUAAGUAAGACUCAUUAGCUGAAUUAUACAUAUAAUCAUGCAUAUGCAAUAGGAAUUUUUAAAUCAUUCUCAUAAGCUCAAUCAUUUCCAGUACACUGAUGCAGUCUUAUGCUGUGCAAUCACCUGUUGUGGUACUAUGAAGGCUAUGAGACAUGUUGAACUAAUAAACAGAGUCCCUUACACAUUGAAAUAUUGGGAAAAAAAUGUACAUUUUCUUCAUUUUGCUUUUUAUUAAAGAGACUUUUUUAGAGUUUGUUUUUGUUUUGUUUUGUUUUGUUUUGUUUUUCCCCACAGUUUACAUUAAUAAAUGAAUCCUAAACUGUGUUUUUAUUUGAGGAUUCUGUUACGCCAGUCUGGAAGUGGAAUGAAAUCAUCCAGUGGGAGUAAAGUGCAGCUAUAUUCACUUUAAGACCUCUAUGUACUCUGAGAGGGAAGAGUUCAGCAUCUGGUUUUGAAUGAACCAACACCUCAGUUCAAGGUGAUGGAUGCCCUUAAAAGGUGCUUAUGGAAACUGAGACCAUAUUGUACCUGAUAGAUUUUGGCUUCCUUUGAAUGUGUGUCAUCUAUGAAGAUACAGUAUAAGAACCAAAAGAAAAAGCAUCACCUGACUGACAGAGAACUUCCUGCAAGAGGCAUUUUUCAGGACGGACUGAUAAUUUUGUCAGCCUGUUCAUUAUUCUACAGUAAUUAAACAAAUGGAACCCCAAGAAAACCUUCAAACUAAAUUGCUUUUUAUAAACAUCUAGGUCACUGUUCUUUUUUCUUUUUUUUUUUUUUUUUUUUUUUUUUUUCCUGGACCUAAUUUCAUGGGCCACUUUGGUAUCUUAGUAUGAUUUUAUAAGAAUGAAGUCACUGUCACAUAGAAAGGACAAGGUCAAUCCAGAUGAAAAAUAGACACAACAAUAAUCUUUUCAGAAAGGAAUAAUGGCAUUCAUAUUCAUAAUGGUAUAUUUUAAUCGAAUAGCACAAAAAGGCCCAGGAACACAAAGACUAGGUAGCCAG